UACGAAGGGGGCAAGCGUUGUUCGGAUUUACUGGGCGUAAAGGGUGCGUAGGCGGCCCUGCAAGUUGGAUGUGAAAGCCCUGGGCUCAACCCAGGAAUAGCAUUCAAAACUACAGGGCUCGAGUGUGGAAGAGGAUGGUGGAAUUUCCAGUGUAGAGGUGAAAUUCGUAGAUAUUGGAAAGAACACCCGUGGCGAAGGCGGCCAUCUGGUCCACAACUGACGCUGAGGCACGAAAGCGUGGGGAGCAAACAGG
RNAcentral lists this ribosomal RNA (253 nucleotides) under uncultured bacterium. RNAcentral describes it as "partial 16S ribosomal RNA". It matches the Rfam family "Bacterial small subunit ribosomal RNA", at positions 524 to 776 of the family's 1533-position model. The record is from RNAcentral.